GCGGCGCGUGAACUUGAACACUCGUGAGGUUUUGGCGGCGGAGCUGAAGUUAGUUUUGUUCAUCAGAGUACAUCACGAGCUGCAUGACAGGCUGAUAUAUGGCCAUCUCAGAGGUCCGUAUGAAGAAUGCAGGAUUGCAAUGAAACAGACGGGCCGUGCCGCUAUCAAACACGCCCCCCGAUGGCAGGGUUCAUAGAUCGGGCACACAGACAGAGGACCAGAGAUCUGAUCUUUGGCUCUUUAUUCUGCUCGGGUGCUAAACAUCAUCAUCGCUCCAGAACGUAGAAACUGUUGCACAGCAAAUAUAGGAAUCAGCCGAAAGCAUCGUACUGGCAUGACAGAAAACGGCAUACUGGGAACUCAAAGAGGAAAAGUCACAGUAAGACGUGUCAUUUAUUUCCUCCAGAAACACACCAGAGGAGUUCAACUUCAGAAGAAGUCUCGUGACCAAGUCCCCGUCUCGCUGUCAUUCAAACAGGCUCAGUUGUGGAUUUUAUUACUCUUUCAUUGAGUUCUCUGUAUGAUUUAUUUAAACAUCAACUCAGAAGACGCCCCUCAGUGAGAAACAUCUGAGAAGAAGAUGUGUUUCUAUUGUCCUCUAUUUCAUCUCAUUGCUCUCUGGAGGAAAAGACUGUAGAGAUUUUUCUCUUAAUGCACAAUUUUCAUCAAAGCUCACACCAAUAAGUAGCCGGAGUUAUGCUCGUGUCUUUUCUCGCAGCGAGUCCCUGCUGUCGUGCUUAUAAAGUUGCUUAGUAACCGAGGAAGUCGAGCUUUGGUGCCAGUUAUUCUCACUGCGAGCAUAUGCCGUCCUGACUCGCACACAUACUGAAAAACAUUAACAUGUGAGUGAAGGAAACUGUGUGCGUUUGCAGUCUUUAAUUCUCCUGCUGAUUGUUGUUAUUAAUGACAGAGACAGAAGUCUACAGACAGACAUUAAUAAAGGCAAUCAAUCAAAUGUG
This is a long non-coding RNA of Misgurnus anguillicaudatus (oriental weatherfish), 959 nucleotides long. RefSeq lists it as uncharacterized. The record is from RefSeq and is a predicted model, not a curated record. Lineage: Eukaryota; Metazoa; Chordata; Actinopteri; Cypriniformes; Cobitidae.